GAUGAACGCUGGCGGCGUGCCUAAUACAUGCAAGUCGAGCGAACAGACGAGGAGCUUGCUCCUCUGACGUUAGCGGCGGACGGGUGAGUAACACGUGGAUAACCUACCUAUAAGACUGGGAUAACUUCGGGAAACCGGAGCUAAUACCGGAUAAUAUAUUGAACCGCAUGGUUCAAUAGUGAAAGACGGUUUUGCUGUCACUUAUAGAUGGAUCCGCGCCGCAUUAGCUAGUUGGUAAGGUAACGGCUUACCAAGGCGACGAUGCGUAGCCGACCUGAGAGGGUGGUCGGCCACCCUGGAACUGAGACACGGUCCAGACUCCUACGGGAGGCAGCAGUAGGGAUUCUUCCGCAAUGGGCGAAAGCCUGACGGAGCAACGCCGCGUGAGUGAUGAAGGUCUUCGGAUCGUAAAACUCUGUUAUUAGGGAAGAACAAAUGUGUAAGUAACUCUGCACGUCUUGACGGUACCUAAUCAGAAAGCCACGGCUAACUACGUG
RNAcentral lists this ribosomal RNA (497 nucleotides) under uncultured bacterium. RNAcentral describes it as "partial 16S ribosomal RNA". It matches the Rfam family "Bacterial small subunit ribosomal RNA", at positions 28 to 507 of the family's 1533-position model. The record is from RNAcentral.